Molecule: unclassified non-coding RNA, 1344 nt
Filed under: Dendronephthya gigantea
Lineage: Eukaryota; Metazoa; Cnidaria; Anthozoa; Malacalcyonacea; Nephtheidae
Description: probable bifunctional dTTP/UTP pyrophosphatase/methyltransferase protein, transcript variant X2
Source: RNAcentral
CGAAUUGAUGCUCUUACUUUGCCCUCAAUCAUUAACUUCGCAAAGACUGGCAGUAUGCUCAUGUAUGACGGCAGUAUGCUCAUGUAUGUAUCGCAAAGACUCUGCCAGUAUGACGUACUGGGGAUUACUUCCUGUUCCACUAGACGCGGGCUCAGAAAGGUGAACAAUAAAUUAUUAUGCAUAAUGCAUUGUUUUUGGCAUUGUUAGUUGUUUAAUACCUCUUGUUACCGUAGACGGUAGACUUGUAACAAAUUUGGCAAUUUUAGUGAAAAUGUUGCAGCCUAUUUUGGAAACACUGAAUAAAAAGAACAUAAUAUUGGCUAGCGGCUCUCCCCGAAGAAAGGAAAUAAUGACCGCUUUGGGUUUAAGAUUCACUUCAGUUCCAUCAUUGUUUGAAGAGAAUUUAGAAAAGUCCUUAUUCAGUGGACCCAGUGAGUAUGCAAAGGAAACUGCGCGACAAAAGGCCUUAGAAGUUUAUCAUCGUGUUCAUAAGACAGAUGAGCCAGACCUUAUUGUUGCCGUCGAUACAGUUGUUUUUCUAGACAAGAUUAUUGAGAAACCAAAGGAUGAAGAAGAUGCGUAUCGGAUUAUUAAGAGUUUGAAUGGAAGAACACAUUCAGUGCACAGCGGUGUAACAUUUCUUAAACCAAAUAAGAGCGAGUCGUUGAAAGAGCCUUUCUCUAUACGCCAGUUCGAUGAAGUAACGAAGGUCACAUUUGGUUCGUUAACAGAUGAAAUGAUUAAAACCUAUGUUGCAACUAAGGAGCCUUUGGACAAAGCUGGUGGAUACGGCAUACAGUCAACAGGUCUCGGCGGAUCUUUUGUCAAAAGCAUAUCUGGAGAUUACUUUAACGUAAUGGGAUUUCCUUUGCAUCGCUUUUGUGUCGAAAUACGAGCGAUUCUGGAGGAUAGUCAUAUGAACGACACCUAACAGUAACGUGUGGGUUUCCAGAAUGACAAUGUCUUCUCUUCUCAAAUUCAGUGGAAGCAUCAAGGAUGGAUGUAGUGACGUAAAUUAUUCCAGAACAUUACAAAACCAAUAGUUGCGAAUGAUCAAAGUUAACUUAAGGCAAACACAGCGACAUCUGUCUAUCGUGCAAGGCUGGAUACAAGUUACCUAUGGAAGCCUCGAAAGACCGGGAGUCUUUCAAAAAUCCCGCACAUGUUGAAAAUCCAGCUUCCUUAAUUAUCGUUAUUGCAUCCUAUUAGAAAGAAUGGAAACCUCCCAUGCAGAUUAUUCAUGUUUACAGUUUAAUCGGUUAGUGAAAGAAUCGUUUUCUAUAUAAAGCUCGAAUGUUCUCAGUCGCCGUCACAAAUCAUGUUCUGCAGUUUAUUUAACGCUAG